Molecule: ribosomal RNA, 494 nt
Filed under: uncultured bacterium
Lineage: Bacteria
Description: partial 16S ribosomal RNA
Rfam family: Bacterial small subunit ribosomal RNA
Source: RNAcentral
GACGAACGCUGGCGGCGUGCCUAAUACAUGCAAGUAGAACGCUGAAGGAGGAGCUUGCUUCUCUGGAUGAGUUGCGAACGGGUGAGUAACGCGUAGGUAACCUGCCUGGUAGCGGGGGAUAACUAUUGGAAACGAUAGCUAAUACCGCAUAAGAGUAGAUGUUGCAUGACAUUUGCUUAAAGGUGCAAUUGCAUCACUACCAGAUGGACCUGCGUUGUAUUAGCUAGUUGGUGGGGUAACGGCUCACCAAGGCGACGAUACAUAGCCGACCUGAGAGGGUGAUCGGCCACACUGGGACUGAGACACGGCCCAGACUCCUACGGGAGGCAGCAGUAGGGAAUCUUCGGCAAUGGACGGAAGUCUGACCGAGCAACGCCGCGUGAGUGAAGAAGGUUUUCGGAUCGUAAAGCUCUGUUGUAAGAGAAGAACGAGUGUGAGAGUGGAAAGUUCACACUGUGACGGUAUCUUACCAGAAAGGGACGGCUAACUACGUG